RNAcentral lists this ribosomal RNA (651 nucleotides) under uncultured Pseudomonadota bacterium. Its description in RNAcentral is "bacterial SSU rRNA". It matches the Rfam family "Bacterial small subunit ribosomal RNA", at positions 79 to 726 of the family's 1533-position model. Lineage: Bacteria; Pseudomonadati; Pseudomonadota. The record is from RNAcentral.
GCUGUUUCGCUGACGAGUGGCGGACGGGUGAGUAAUGUCUGGGAAACUGCCUGAUGGAGGGGGAUAACUACUGGAAACGGUAGCUAAUACCGCAUAACGUCGCAAGACCAAAGAGGGGGACCUUCGGGCCUCUUGCCAUCGGAUGUGCCCAGAUGGGAUUAGCUUGUUGGUGGGGUAACGGCUCACCAAGGCGACGAUCCCUAGCUGGUCUGAGAGGAUGACCAGCCACACUGGAACUGAGACACGGUCCAGACUCCUACGGGAGGCAGCAGUGGGGAAUAUUGCACAAUGGGCGCAAGCCUGAUGCAGCCAUGCCGCGUGUAUGAAGAAGGCCUUCGGGUUGUAAAGUACUUUCAGCGGGGAGGAAGGGAGUAAAGUUAAUACCUUUGCUCAUUGACGUUACCCGCAGAAGAAGCACCGGCUAACUCCGUGCCAGCAGCCGCGGUAAUACGGAGGGUGCAAGCGUUAAUCGGAAUUACUGGGCGUAAAGCGCACGCAGGCGGUUUGUUAAGUCAGAUGUGAAAUCCCCGGGCUCAACCUGGGAACUGCAUCUGAUACUGGCAAGCUUGAGUCUCGUAGAGGGGGGUAGAAUUCCAGGUGUAGCGGUGAAAUGCGUAGAGAUCUGGAGGAAUACCGGUGGCGAAGGCGGCC